Molecule: long non-coding RNA, 759 nt
Organism: Herpailurus yagouaroundi (jaguarundi)
Lineage: Eukaryota; Metazoa; Chordata; Mammalia; Carnivora; Felidae
Exons: 2
Source: RefSeq, a predicted model, not a curated record
UCAACUGACUGAGCUACCCAGGUGCCCUAGCAUUGUGGAAUAUCCUGUCUGACUUUCCUUCCUUGAUGGGUCAUGGAGGUUGGGUAAGGACGAAACUUUUACACUGCUUGGGCUGCCAUAGUGAAAUACCACAGACUAAGUGGCUUAAACAACAGACAUUUAUCUCUCUUCAGUUCUCGAAACUAGGAAGUCCAAGCUCAAGGUUCCGGCAGAUUUGGUUCCUGGUGAGAGGCCUCUUCUUGAUGUGCAGACUUCUCACUGUGUCCUCAUGUGGCAGAAGGAACCUCAAUGAGCUCAUCUAAACCUAGUCACCUCCUGAGAGCCCCACCUCCAGAAUGGUGGCCUUCACAAAAUGAAAGGUGCAUAUGCCAGUGGAAGCAUAAGAUGAUCCAGGAAGUGCAGGAGGUAAUGUAGAACUUUGACUUUUAAAAGUCCUAUCCUUUUAAAAUACCCUUUUUCUCUUUGCAUGUUUUAUAAUGUACAUAAUAGAUCAGUACGAUAUUUUAUAUAUAAUAUACACAUGUAUAAUGUAUACACAUAUAUAAACUUAUAAUCAAAAUUUGGAGUGUGUUUAACUUUUCAGGGAAGGGUUAUAUGAUUGAAAGAGUGUAGAAUACUCACUACAAGAAUCAUUAAGCCGCUGCCCCGUCACAGCCUUAUGCUUGAUUCUGGUCUAAAAAUAAACACCUAAGCAAUUUAAACAAAAUUUUCAAACGGCUGAAUGCAAGUUUGCCAUCAACUUUUUGAGGUUAACCACAC